CUUUUGGGAAAAAAAAAGCCAUAACCUCAGAACAGGAGGCUAAUCAGGUUAUUGUGCUGGUUCUAUCACACAGUGCCUUGGAGAUGUGCCACAUAUAUAAGAGGGUAAAAUCUAUCCCAAUUUCAGAUACUCGCUGGAAACUACAAGCACUUAAGAAGUCUAAGACAAUAUUCAAGAAAAGAUGCAACUUUUUGGACCACACUCCGGAGAUCCUUCAACAAGUCAAAACAGUGAUAUAAAGGAUCCACAGAAUUAUUUAAAGAAGAAUAUGGGAAUGCAUCUGACUCUCCAAAUAAGUUAUGUGAGAUAGCCCAAACUUAAUUUUUCUCUAAAUUUGCAUUGUCCCACUGUACAUUCUGAAUGUGAGAUUCAGGCGAAGAAGAAAAUGACUCCGGUUUGGCUGAAAAGUAGAUUGUACACCAUGUUUUCCAGCCAUUUCAGGUCAAGACCUAGAAUUAUCAAUUUGACUUGUUCUCAUUAUAGUUAUCACCAAGGUUUACUGUAUGAGAUUAAACAAAACGAAAGAGCCAUUUGAUCUUACUGUUCGUGAG
Molecule: non-coding RNA, 551 nt
Organism: Chiloscyllium plagiosum (whitespotted bambooshark)
Lineage: Eukaryota; Metazoa; Chordata; Chondrichthyes; Orectolobiformes; Hemiscylliidae
Source: RefSeq, a predicted model, not a curated record